RNAcentral lists this unclassified non-coding RNA (377 nucleotides) under uncultured Simkaniaceae bacterium. Its description in RNAcentral is "contains 16S-23S intergenic spacer region". Lineage: Bacteria; Pseudomonadati; Chlamydiota; Chlamydiia; Parachlamydiales; Simkaniaceae. The record is from RNAcentral.
UCCUAGUUAACCUAGGCAGUCUCAUUAGAGUCCCCACCUUGCGUGUUGGCAACUAAUGAUAAGGGUUGCGCUCGUUGCUGGACUUAACCAAACACCUCACGGCACGAGCUGACGACAGCCAUGCAGCACCUAUACAGCGACCCUUUCGGGAAAUACCAUCUCUGGUAUCGUCCUCUGUACUUCUAACCUGGGUAAGGUUCUUCGCGUUGCAUCGAAUUAAACCACAUGCUCCACUGCUUGUGCGGGCCCCCGUCAAUUCUUUUGAGUUUCACCCUUGCGAGCGUACUCCUCAGGCGGUAUACUUAACGCGUUAGCUCCGACACAGCCAGGGUUGAGCCCGGCUACACCAAGUAUACAUCGUUUACGGCAAGGACUAC